This 310-nucleotide long non-coding RNA is filed under the name Carica papaya (papaya). Its description in RNAcentral is "long non-coding RNA (CPAP_LNC007637)". Lineage: Eukaryota; Viridiplantae; Streptophyta; Magnoliopsida; Brassicales; Caricaceae. The record is from RNAcentral.
CAAUGCCGACUCCGCCGCCCACAGCAGCACUUCCUCUUGGUCUAGCCAUUUUUGGUCGAUUUUGGCCGAUUUUGCAUAGAAACCUGCAAAAAAUAGCGUUAGGAAGCCUCUGUCGGCUAAAAAAGAGAAAAAUCAAGACUUUAUCAACGGAAGAAUUUUUCAGUGCGGCGGCUCCGCUGUUCCUCUCUUGCGGUUAGGGCUUUUCUUCGGCUAACUUACAUCAAAAAGAGAUGAAGAACACAAAGGUCAAAGAACCGAAGAAAACGGGAAAUGGAAAAGAGCUCAUCAGAGGGGUUUUUGGCUCUCGACC